This 212-nucleotide ribosomal RNA is filed under the name Pycnococcus provasolii. RNAcentral describes it as "partial Bacterial large subunit ribosomal RNA". It matches the Rfam family "Bacterial large subunit ribosomal RNA", at positions 788 to 998 of the family's 2925-position model. Lineage: Eukaryota; Viridiplantae; Chlorophyta; Pseudoscourfieldiophyceae; Pseudoscourfieldiales; Pycnococcaceae. The record is from RNAcentral.
GUUGAAAAAGACUCCGAUGACUUGUGGCUAGGGGUGAAAGGCCAACCAAACUUGGAAAUAGCUGGUUCUCCGCGAAAACUAUUUAGGUAGUGCGUCAGACGAAUACCACCGGGGGUAGAGCACUGGAUGGGUAAUGGGGACCCACAGUCUUACUGAUCCUAACCAAACUCCGAAUACCCGAAAGUACUGCGCGGGAGACACACGGCGGGUGC